GGGAGAAGCAUUCUUUAGGCUAAUUAAUUCAGGCAUGAGAGAGGAUUACACUACAAUUCCAAAUUUGUUUUGAGAAGUGAUUUUGCCACAGCAUUCCUCCACCCCAACCCGCCUCACCCUUUUGUCUAUUUUUUCUGGUUAAUUUUUGACAAGGUGCCAUGUACAUACAGUUGAGAGAAUACCAUACUCUUUUUUAUUGUCAGUUUUGUCCAGAGGAGUGCCCCUCAUCUUUCUAUAAUUGUGGCAUAUACAGCUAAGAGAAAAGUAUACUCCUUUUUAUUAUCAUACCGUUUUUGCACGAAGAAUGACAUUGUCCCACCUUCUACCCUUCUAUUAUUUCCGGUCAGAUUUUGGCAGUGUGGUCUUUUGGAGGGAAGUUUUGCUUCUGUUCUUCUGUGACAAUGGACGAUUUCAUGGAUAUGCAUGAAAAGGCCUAUUAGUGGAUGUUUGUAAUAAAAUUAAAUUGAAAAAAAUCACUAGCAUCAGGAUAGUAAAGAGUGAAUUAUGUAAAAAUAUUCCUGGUGCUGUUGCAAAAUUUGUUUCUUGUUACUAUACACAAUUUCAAAAACAACUAACAAUAAAGUAGAUGUCCACUGACUUGGAGAUGGCUAAACGAAUGAAGGCACAUGAAUGCAAUGUUUUGGUACAGUUAUAAGGGAGUAUUACUGAUGGAUCCCUAAGGAAAAAUAGGAAGAGUUUUAAAAGGAGAUGAGAACCGAUUCCGCAAACCCACACUGAGCCCGACUGAGCAAGACCUGCUCAGGUCUUAAGAAGCUCACUCUCAUCUCCCUGUACCUGAUACCCGGAGAGUGGGUGGUAAGAGGCUACUGUAGUCACGAGAUGAAUGAAUGAAUGAAUGGACAGACAGCUCGCAGCCAGCCUCUACGGACGUGGACCGUGAGAGAGGCGACUGCGCAUGCCAGAAGGCGGGCGCCCAGAGGAAGGGAAGCGGAGACAUCUUUGUCCCUUGGUUCCUUUUUCCUGCUUGGGAGCUAGCCUGAGGAAACGAAACCAGCCUGCCCUAAAGUAGCCCGAGGGAUCGCAGUGACCCAUUUAGCUCGCUGCAGGGAGGCCCAGCGUCCUCCAGGG
Molecule: long non-coding RNA, 1089 nt
Filed under: Sarcophilus harrisii (Tasmanian devil)
Lineage: Eukaryota; Metazoa; Chordata; Mammalia; Dasyuromorphia; Dasyuridae
Description: lncRNA (ENSSHAG00000023569.1)
Source: RNAcentral